AGUGAACGCUGGCGGUAGGCCUAACACAUGCAAGUCGAACGGCAGCACAGUAAGAGCUUGCUCUUACGGGUGGCGAGUGGCGGACGGGUGAGGAAUACAUCGGAAUCUACUUUUUCGUGGGGGAUAAUGUAGGGAAACUUACGCUAAUACCGCAUACGACCUACGGGUGAAAGCAGGGGAUCUUCGGACCUUGCGCGAUUGAAUGAGCCGAUGUCGGAUUAGCUAGUUGGCGGGGUAAAGGCCCACCAAGGCGACGAUCCGUAGCUGGUCUGAGAGGAUGAUCAGCCACACUGGAACUGAGACACGGUCCAGACUCCUACGGGAGGCAGCAGUGGGGAAUAUUGGACAAUAGGCGCAAGCCUGAUCCAGCCAUACCGCGUGGGUGAAGAAGGCCUUCGGGUUGUAAAGCCCUUUUGUUGGGAAAGAAAAGCAGCAGGUUAAUACCCCGCUGUUCUGACGGUACCCAAAGAAUAAGCACCGGCUAACUUCGUGC
This 493-nucleotide ribosomal RNA is filed under the name uncultured bacterium. RNAcentral describes it as "partial 16S ribosomal RNA". It matches the Rfam family "Bacterial small subunit ribosomal RNA", at positions 29 to 508 of the family's 1533-position model. The record is from RNAcentral.